RNAcentral lists this long non-coding RNA (26693 nucleotides) under Ananas comosus (pineapple). Its description in RNAcentral is "long non-coding RNA (ACOM_LNC026088)". The record is from RNAcentral. Lineage: Eukaryota; Viridiplantae; Streptophyta; Magnoliopsida; Poales; Bromeliaceae.
UUUCUUUUUCUUCUAGAGAGAGAGAGAGUGGGAGAGGAAUGAGAAGGAAGGAGAAGAAGAGCUUGUAGAGGACUUGGAGCUUCAUCUCCACCCUUUCUUCUCCCUUUUGGUGGAUUAGAGCUUGCUUUUGGAGCUUAGUGGUGGACCAAACUUCAACCCUAGGGCAUUUUGAGCUUGGAUUGAAGCUUCCAAAGGGUUAGUAACAUGUUUCUUCUUAUAGAUUCUUGUUUUUGUGAUUUUUGGGAGAUGAAACUAUAGAAAUGAGAUUUAGGGUUGAUUUUGGGGCUUUUGGAUCUAGGGCUUUUGAGGCUAGAUUUUUUGGAUUAGAACCCUCCUUUGGGUUAGAUUGGAAGGAUCCUAGCCUUCUUUUGGAGCUUGAGUGAGAAUUUCUACUCCCUAGGUGAGUUUUUGCCCUAUUCUUUUGAUUAUUAUUGUUCGAGCCUAGAGUUGCUCGUAAUGCUUGUGUAUCUCUUCGCUGAUCACUUUUAGGGUAUCUUGAGGCUUGUGGACAACUCCGUUCGGCGAAUCGAAGGAGCACGCGACGGUUCGGUGGGUUUGACCUAGCCUAUGAUAUGAGAAAUGCUCAUAUUUGGCAAAAUAUGUUUCGUAAAGUAGAAAUUCAUGCAUUUCCAUGUUAAAUGUAUUUAUUAUGAAUUUGAGAAUGCUUAACAUGCAUAUAUUAUGUAUAGUAAAAUUUUAGACCUCUAUGUGGUAGAGUGCAUGCAUGUGAGACUUAGCAUUCUAGUUAUGAUUGGGAACCAUGAUUCCUAUUAUGGAAAUGAAUCUUGCUUUCAUGCAUUUAACCUAUAUGCCAAUUGUGAGAUUAGGAAUUUUAGAAGCCUAGAGAGGGCUUGAGAACUUGGACUAUUAGAGAAUUGAGAUAAUGUCAUAAAGAGGCAUUGCGGGUCAUGGUAAUCAUUUGUCACGCCCCACCCCGAAACCACUACCAAUUUGGCACGAUUCGGCCGCGGCGAUGGACCGCCGAACGGACAGCACCUCCCCUGCCCGCCCAAGGCUCAACCACAGGAAUGUGUACAAGAAUUUACCCAGGGCUUUAAAUUCUAAACAUACACAUCCAACGAGGGUACAAACAGUGCCGACAACAAGAAGAGCAGGUAAUCCACAAGAUAUACGAGUGAAAUGAAGAGAGUACUUUACUAACUAUUACAAUAGUUGCAUUCAUUACAUCAUUUUUCAUCCAAAAUACAUAGCCCUCCAAACCUCACUUACAAUAAAUCUCUCUCUAUACAUAGGUGACUAAUGCAAAAAGGAAAGCUACUAUACUACCACGGUCUCACUAGUCGGGCGCGACGCCCUUGCCGCGGUCCUCCCUCCGCAGCCCUGAACCUACCACUGGAAAUAGAGUGGGGUGAGAACUAUCUUCCAUAGUUCCCAGUGGGCUCGGCCGCCGACUCUGCCGAUCUCCCCACUAGGUCCAAGUGGGCACAAGUAACAACAGAUAGAUAGAUAGAUAUGUAUCUGAAAGCUGUAAAUGCAGUAGUAGGAAAACUAUGCUACUAUGCCCAUAAUCAUAAAUAUGAAUGCAUGCAUCAUAUAAUAAAGGUUUGCUAUCAUGCUAACAAAUUCGAUCUAUGUUCGAAUAACAAUGUUCAAUGACAUCAAUAACCUUUCCAUUUACCCAAUCUGUGGUGAGGCCCUAGGGCUCGCCCAUGACUCACCUUUCAAUCCCAAAGUGGGGAGGGGGCUCCAAGUGCACCCAAGCUGGGGACCGUCUGCGGACCUCCAUGUGGUCCGGACCUCCAAGUGGUCCUAGUCGCACGACACUCCGGAGUACUCGACGACAAUCCCCUCCAUGUGGGGAUUGGAUGGCUAUACCACCCUAAACGCAGACUGUGAGCUAGAUCUAUCCUCUCCAAGUGAGGAUACACGGUAACUAGGGUCAACACCCAAUCCAAUCCUCUCCAAGUGAGGAGGCUCUACAACUAGAGUCAAUAACCCAAUCGAAUCCUCUCCAAGUGAGGAUGCCCUACAACUAGGGUCAAUAUCUCUCGCGGGAUCUUAUUCCCGACAUUCAUGCAACACUAUGUAGGUUGUCUAAAUUCAUUAUUCACAAGGCAUUUUCUAAGGGAUCCACCUAUCCCUAGGUCCAUCGACCUCUAGUGUUAUUUACACUACAUUAAUGCCACUCGUUAUCAUUCAAUAUUUGGAUGCCACUCGUUUGUUCUUUAACAAUAACACUACUUUCUAUGUCAUCAAUACCCCCAUCGGGAUCAUCUCUUUUCUUUCGCACCAUAGGAUUCACGUCUCGACCCAAUCCUCACCUAUCUAAGUUACCAAGCGUUCCAAGUACACUAGGUUAUCAAUUAGAAAGCAUAAGGAAUGAAGCUACUAUGCAAUCCUACAAUGCAACAUGAAGAGAUGAGAUUAAAUGCAAUCUAAGACAUAAAAAGGAGUUCGAAAGUUUCGGAUGACACCCCCCACCUUUUAUCGAUGUAGAGGCUUUGGUAAUUCUUCUCGGCAAGCUUCACGAAGAGGCUUUAGCCUUCCUCGCCUAAAUCCAAACUAUCCAGGCCCGAUUUUGCCGAGGACUUCACGUCGGUUCGCCGAAUGCCGAAAUCGACUUCGCCCCCGUGUUUUGGGACCUAUCAAUAGGGUUUCCAAGGCUUCAAAUGAGAUCAAUCUGUUAUCUAUACAGUAGCAGGUUUGUUAUUGCUUCUUAUUUAUCUGUUGUAGCUACUGUAGUUCGUUUUCAUAUAUCAGUAUCUAUGUUUGUUUAUCUAUCUCCUUUGGUUUCCGGUGAUUACGGCUUACCUUCGUGGCUCUGUCGUACCACUGAGAAAAUCAUGGUUGCGGUUUCUCACCCCCCCAUUUCCCCCCGAGGUGAUAUAGACAAGGAGUUGGAUUUUGGGCUCGACGAGAGAACGAUCUAGCUAGUCUGGUAUAGCGAUCGCCACCCUGGUUGUAUUUCUUCCCCCGCUUUAGUAGUCAUUUAAAUAAUGGUUCAGUUAGCUGAUUUUUAUGAUUGUUUGAAUGUUGGUGAUCUAGUUUUGGUAGAUCUGUGGAUGUUUUCGUUAUUUAUGCAUGUGAACUGAGGUUUGUGAAUUUGAUGUUGAUUUUAUGGAUAUCGGAUUUUUUUGUAUUUACAUAUCGUGGUUUUCUACCCCUCGAGAUAGCUGGUUUUCAAAACAGAGUUUUCUUGUGGGAAACAUUUUAAAAAGGUUUCGAAUGAAUUUCAUGAUGAAUGAAUUAGAGUUUAAAAACAAAAACUUCCGUGUGGGAGCACUUUUAAAUAGGAUGAUUGUUGUACUGUGCAUCGCAUCAUCCAGCGCCUAAGGAGUGCUUAGAGGCAUGCAUCAUUUCUAAGGAUUGUUAGCUGGAUGAAAAUGCAUAUCAUGAAUUGGUUGUUGAUUGGUAAAUGUAGGUUGUGGUUGUGAUCCUGUUGUAUCCAUUGGUACGCCGUGCAAAUACAAAAGAGACUCUGCCCGAGUGGACAGAGGAACUUUGUAUUUGUGGCGGGUCUUGAUACGUCACGUGGGCCAGGUUGAAAAAAAAAAAAAAAAAUUUUGUACAUCUUCCGCGACUCUGAGUUUUAAAAUGGUAAUGGCUUUUAAAUCGGCCCGGGGCGUGACAGGGCAUUUUUCGCCCAGAGGGACGGUCUCUCCCCAGCAGGGACGGUCUCUCGCUGCAAACCCGAAAACCAAUGUUCGGGAACCGGUCUCUCCCUGCGCGGGACCGGUCUCUCACUGCGUAGGCGCGCUCGGGACCGUCUCGCCCGCCAGGGACCGCGUUGCCUCAGGGCUGCCGCAACACUGCUCACUGGGGCGGUCUCUCCUUUCAGGGACGGUCCCCGAGAGUAAAAAACUCUCAGGACUUGUCCAGAAUUCUGGUUUCGAACAUUUAGGUCGGAAAGCAUUCUACAACCUUCCACCAAAUGUGGAAAAGCUCGAAAUACAUCCAAACACUCGAACCUCGCAAAUUGCAAAGGUCCAGUGCGCUACACAUCAACAUCAAUAUAUAUCAUACACCAUUCAGCACAGGUUCACAUCAUGAUUUGAACAUAAAAAUCACAACUAUUAGUUAAAACGUUUCCAACUCAGAAGUGGGUUUUGAAAUACUAGUUAUGAAAACUACGAAAAAAACUUUUGAAAGCUGUUUCCCACACGAAAAUCUUUUCUUUUAAAAUGCGCUACCACGAGGGGUAGAAAACCAUUUUUUUUUUCACAAACUCCACAAAUCCCUUAUCAUUCAUGAAAACCCACAUUUUCAGAUGUAAUAAAAAUAUUGAAGCAUAUAAACUAUCUAAGCUAUGUCAAUAGAAUGGUAAGGGUAGAAACUAAACCGAAUAACCUUGGUCGGAAGCUUAUCGACCGCUAACUACGUAUCUGACGUCUCGUCUCAACUCUCACCGUCAACAAUACCUGAAAAAUGGUGGGGGAGGUGAGAACAUGUAAACAUGUCUCCCCUCCCAGUCGGUACCGCAAGCCGAAGAAGGCGAGAAGUACUCACCGGAUCACGAAGAGCUAAACAACAGUACGGGUCAGUGAAAUACAGUAGCAAUAAUAAUGAACAAAGAGAUAUAUAUAUAAUAAUAUAUAUAUUAAAUGAAAGUACAACUACCGCUACUGAAAUGAACAACUGAAUGUAAACAUGUAACAAACUAUAGUACAAGACAAUGUAACGAAAGAACUGAAGGUAUACAAGCAACAACCGCUACUACAGCUAUAUGCAUCAACCGGACAAGAAGUCCAAAUAUACCCAAUCUGAUGCCUGCAUAUUGGUCCGCAGACCUCAAGCGCUGCCUGUCACUGAACUGCACCGACUAAUUGACCCGCCCCACAGGACACCCAUCUGGAUAAGCACAUCCGGUCCGGUGGCCAAACCGACCCGUGUGUGAAUACCCCCAAGUGCUGUGACUAAGUCAUGCUAGUAUGCUCAAUGUAAAAACCGGCUGAAGCCGGUGCCUAGGCCGAAGCCAGAAACAAGGGGCUACAACGCCGAACCACGAUCAACCAGAUCGAAACACAUGACAGAGAGUCGAUGUGUUGCCUGGACCCAAGGUCCAUAGAGUCCAACUGACUAAUAAGGUCACUGAUACGAAGUACGAGAACCGACCAACCAGGUCAACAGAUACGGAAUGCAAACAACCAACAACUAGGUCAACAGAUACGGAAUGCAACAACCAACCAACUAGGUCAACAAAUACGGAAUGCAAACAACCAACCGACUAGGUCAACAGAUGCUGAAUGCAACAACCGACCAACCAGUCAACAGAUACGCAUGUAGAUAGAACUACUUACUCCUACUCAGGAUACUAAGCAUGCAAACAACGAGUAGAGUAUAACGAAUAACAAGGGUGCAAGGCUCAAUAUACUAUACAACAGUAACAACAGAAGAGUAAGGGUAAGAAACCAUCACCAAGCGUGCACCACUGUACCGACGUCGGAUCAAAAGUACCCACCUGUAAGGUGUCACGUCUGUCUCCUAUAAAGACCCAGCCCACUAGCAACAAUAACUCGUUGGGCCAACAACCAGCCAAAAUGCUUAAGCCGCAGUUAUUAUUACUAGUGUUCAAGUCUCAGAUAAACCCAAUGACACCCCUUUCCCAUCUGAUGUGGGACUUUGGGGUGUCACAGACUCCCCGGUUAAGGCCCUGACGUCCUCGUCAGUCCAAUCACACACAGCCCAAGAUCACCAGGCGAUGUGAGACUCGUCUCGCUAGCCCAUCAUGAAGACCCUGGCUUAGCCGAGACUCGCCACACAUGUCCAGCUGGUGAAACCGCUUUGAUACCAAAUAUAACGACCCUACCACUAGCAAUAAUAACCGUUGGGCCCAACCACAGCCCAAAAAUGCUUAAGCCCAGUUAUUAUUACUAGUGUCUCUAAGUCUCAUAUAAACCCAAUGACAACCCCUUUCCUAUCUGAUGUCGGACUUUGGGUGUCACAUGCCAGACCGGGCUGAUGCAAUAUUGGAUUUUUGAGGAGCUCCGCAGGAUUUUGUUACAAGAGAAGGCUUAUAUGGCCACUUCUCCUUCUCCCCUUCCUCACUUCACCAUUUCUUUUCUUCUAGAGAGAGAGAGAUGGGAGAGGAAUGAGAAGGAAGGAGAAGAAGAGCUUGUAGAGGACUUGGAGCUUCAUCUCCACCCUUUCUUCUCCCUUUUGGUGGAUUAGAGCUUGCUUUUGGAGCUUAGUGGCAAAGAAUGCCUCAAAGUACUAAAUAGAAACUGUACCCAAUCUGUGCCUGCUGUAUUGGUUCGCAGACCUCAAGCGCUGCCUGUCACUAACUGCACCGACCUGAUCCAUCCGCCCUGCAGGACGACCUAUCCGGAUAAGUACACCUCCGAUCGUUGGCCAAACCGAUCCGGUGUCAUGAAUACCCCCAAGUGCUGUCACUAAGUCAAUACUGGUAUGCUCAAACAAGAACCCGGCUAAAGCCGGUGCCUAGGCCGAAGCCAGCAAGGGAGUACAACGCCAAACUGUAAUAGAUGCUAGGGCGUACAACGCCGAACCUCGAUCAACCAGAUCGAAACACAUGACAAGAAAGUCGAUGUGCUGCCUGGACCCAAGGUCCACAAAGAUACUGAAAUACAAAUGCAUCCUGCUCUACAUGUCUAUCAACUACUAACCAAAUGGAAUCAAAGAGGUACGAUAUACGAAAGAUAAGCAAACAAAGACAUGUAGAGACUAAAAUACUGGAAUAGAAAAACAGGAGAAGGAGGUGAAACGCUCUCACCGACUACCAGCUCGAAGCACCCACCUGUCACUGUCGCGUCGGAACGCUGGGUACGCACAGAGUCUACCGGACCUAAGAAGAUCCAGCAAGUCAGAAUCUAAACCACUAACCCAAAGCACGAGACUCACAAACCCCCACACAGGAUCCCCGUAAUCGGUUUCCCAAAACCGAUUACCGUAACUCACCGGAAGUCCCGAAAACCACACCGGGACGUCGUCGGGACCCACUAAUUGUCCCAAACUCACCGACUCGUGCCACGAGUCACCCGCUGCCCCAAAGCACUCCAAUUUGGAUGCCUUGGCAGCGAACACGAGGUAGCACAACCAUACGAUCAUCGCCGGAUAAUCGUACGAAUCCAGGUUCCCGGAAGUGUCUAUUUCAACAUCGGAACCCACCGUCGCUCACCCAUCAUCAUCGAACCCACAAAAUGAUGAUGGUGACCAGCCAACAAGGCUCAGGGACAAAACACGAAGCAACCAAACACCGUCGGAAAAAAUUCGAACCGAAACCGCGUUCUUUCGGCGAAUUUCGCCGAAAAACGCACCGAAAUCGACCUACCGAUUUCCGCAAAAGCUAACGGACCAUGGACAAUCAGUCCAGCGGUCAUACAAACUCUCACACACUGCCCACAGUAGCCACGCAAAGCACAACUGCAUAAAAGACCCUCUAAUUACAUAAAAUCUCAUCAUUUUAUGUAAUUUGAGCGAUCAAGCGGCUCGUUCACGCAAACCGAGGACUUUCGAAGUCCGCAGAGACACGUAUUGACAGGUCUCGACGUACCGGAGUCCGUGCUCACGAUCCGGAGCACAGCGGCUCGCUGUGGGAAGCGCGGGAGCAACCCGAAGGUUCAGCGAAUAGCGCACGGUCAGGAAAGAUCGCGCCGAUCAGAACUAACCGGACACUUCUGAUCCAAGGGAAGGUGAGCAUUGUGAUCAGCACUGACCAGCGGUCACCGUGCUCACCUCCGGAGGCAUCGGAACAGCCUCGGAUCGCCGAAAAACAAGCACAAACCCGAAACAGCAGCCAAAAAGGCUGAAACGGAGCGACAUCGCCAAAACAGCGGAACGGGGCCUUCCCGACAGAAACCAAGGUGAGCACGAUGAUCAGCAACUUACCAGGAUCAUCGUGCUCCCUUCCGUAAAGGUCGGGGAGGCUCGAAAAGCCCAGAACAACAAACACCCCAAACAAAGUCCUAUUUCGGGCUUGGCCGGAGCAACCUUGCUCCGGCCGGCUUCCGGCGGCACGGCGGCGAGCGUGGGGGCCAGGGGCGGGUGCGGGAGAGGUGAGGAACACCGUGCUCAUCUCGGUUGGCGACGAGAAGCGGCGGCGGCGUCGGCGGAGCAACCCGAGCCCGCAAGAGAGAAGCUCGGGCUCGGCGGGUUUCUCCGGCCACGGCGGCGGCCGGGGAAGGUCGGGGACGUCGGCGGCGGGUCCCCAGAGGCCAGAGGAGGAGGAAGGAGGCAGCCUCNUGUAUUUUAACCUAAAAGGGACCCCGGGGCGUGACACCUAUCUAGUAGUGAUAGUCAUUUCCCGGUUCAAUGUCAUUGUUUCCAACAUAUUCUGGGACCUACAUAGUGUAGUCCAGCUUGUGCCACCUAAGUGUCGGUGGUAGCUCCAGCAUUCCCACUCUAGGAAUGAGUCUAUCCUUCCCGACCUCGUAGGUUUCUCGAUACUGCACGAGCGAACAUAAGUCGCGUAGGCCAACUCCGGAGUUCCGGCUUGUAGGGAGCGACCCUCAUAAGCAUGUGCGAAUGAGCACAAAUGGCAAGCAAGCAUAGUCAACGUCUCAAAUACCCAAUCAUCAUGUCUCUAAUAUAGUAAAAGUCACUAGCAUCUCAAAGAUCUAGUUCGAUGUCUCAAAGUGAUGUUCCAACACUCACAAUGCUUAGUGCCUCUUUAUGGCACUUAAACUUGUUAUAAAUUAACACAUUUCAUAAUCUAUAUUCCAUUCAUGACAUUAGUACUAGGUUCUCAUUUAACCCGAGCUCAAUGCCCCUUUAUGACAUUAGCCCAAUUAUUCGCAAGUAGUACAAGUCUCCGAACCUCUUUAUGGCUUACUAAGAUCCUUUAAGUCUCAAGUAGGAAUAGCUUUAAGUGCAUGCAAGUAAUGCUCAUUUUCACAAUAGGAAUUAUGAUUCCAAGUCUCAAUAGGAUGCCAAUCAUGUACAAGUUCCACAUGCUAGUUCUCUACUACAUAGAGGUUCGAAAAUUAUCACACAUAACAUAAGCAUGUUAAGCAUCCUAAAAUUCACAAUAAUUACAUUUAUCAUGGAAAUGCAUGAAUUUUUACUCUACGAAGCAUAAAACAUAGGAUAUGAGAAUUUCUCAUAUGCUAGGCUAGGUCAAACGAACCGAACCGUCUCGAAACCCUUCGUUUCGCCGAACGGAGUUGUCCACAAGUCUCUAAGUACCCUAAAGGUAAGGAGCGAAGAAAUAAACAAACGUUACGAGCAACUCUAGGCUCAAACAUUAACCACCACAAGCAAAGGGGCAAAAACUCACCUAGGGAGUAGAAAAUCUCUCUCAAGCUCCAAAAGAAAGCUAGGACCCUUCCAAUGGAACCUAGAGGAAGGUUCUAAUCCAAGAAAUUGAGCUCCAAAAGCCCUAAAAUCAAAAUGCCCAAGAUCAACCCUAAAACCUCAUUCUAGGGUUUCAUCUCCUAAAAACCAACAAAAUAUGGUCUAGAGGGAAGAAAUGAACAACUAACCUCCUUAGAAGCUCCAAUCCAAGCUCCAAGGGUGAAGAUCUCCUCUCUUGCAAGCUCCAAGACCAAGCCUCCAAGCACCAACAAGGUGAGAAGAGAAGGAGAGGAAAAUGCUCCAAGUCCUCAAGCUAGAUCCUCCUCCUCUUCUUCUCCUUCUUCUUCUUCUCUUCCUUCUUCUCCUUCUUCUCUCUAGGGUGUUGGGAGAAUGAGAGAAAGAGAUAUGAGAAAAGGGAGAGGGUGAAAUGGCCAUAUAGGCCAUCAAAUGCAACAAAAUCCACAGAGGCCCCUCAAUUUCCCAAUAUUGCAACAGCCCGGACUGGGCAGUUUUCGGACUGAGGGACCGGUCUCCUCGACAUGGGACCGGUCUCUCAGCCUGCCCCGAAAAUCCAACGUUCGGGAACCGGUCUCUCCCCGCACGGGACCAGUCUCUCCCCGCGUGGACGCGCUCGGGGACCAGUCUCACCCGCCAGGGAUCGGUUGCCUCAAGGCUGCCGCAAUACUGUUCCGGGGGGGACCGGUCUCUCCCAGCCAGGGACCGGUCCCCGAGAGUAAAAACUCUCAGGACUUGUCCAGAACUUAGGUUUUCGAACUUUUUAGGUUGGAAAAUAUUCUACGACCCUCCACCAAGUGUGGAAAAGCUCGAAACACAUCCAAUCACUCGAAUCUCGCAAUUUGCACAGGUCCAGUAUGCUACAGGAGUCAAAUUGGACAAGAGAAUAGCAAACAUGGGUAAAGGCAUAUAUACAUUCAAAGUUCAAGGGCAAGUUCAUCACUUCGUACCAAAUUUAUGUCCCAACGAUGCUCAUGCAAGAUUUUUGCAACUAUAUUUUUAUGAUACUGAGCACGAAGUUAUUAAUCAUAUGCAUCAAAUGCCUCAGUUGAACAAAUCAAUAAUUGAGAAGUUGAUUGGAAUUCUUAGUAUCAAUCCAUACUCAAUGUUUUUACGGAGCUUGAGAAGUAUACCAUCUCUAGAAGUCUAUACUAUAUCUAUACGAAAGGAUUGUGGAUUAGAUCAGCGCAUAUACAAUGCACCAUCAACUUCUCAAGUUGCUACUAUUUGGGUCGAAGGAAAUAAUAUUGAAGGACAAUACUCGAGAGAUGUUGUUGUGCAUGGACAUUCAAAUAACCCUUAUAAAGUCGAGCCAUACUUUGGCUAUUAUGAUCCGUUAUAAUAUCCUCUAUUAUUUCCGCUAGGCCAAAUAGGAUGGCAUAAGAAUAUACCAAGACGCAAAGGGAAGAUGAAACACCGUGACGAUAAUUCAACUUCAACAAUCAUUCCCAGAACUAAUGAUCACAAUUUCGAAGAUGUCUUAAUUAGAGAAAAAGGUAAUAAAAUUAAAUAUAAUAGAAAAUAUUUUUUAAAUUUAGUCAAUUUAUAAAUAAAAUAUUAAAUUUUUGUUACAAUACUUCUCUUUUUUUAUUUGUAGCUGUGGCUAAUCGGAAAGAGAAAGAUGUAUCAUGUCGAGAAUAUUACUGUUACAUGCUAUAAGUGCGUAAUGAUCCAGAAACAUCAAUUCUUUAUACUGGUCGACUUCUACAAUAAUAUGUUGUUGAUAUGUAUAUCAAAAUUGAGACUACACGUUUAGAUUAUUUUUAUGCAAAUCAAGAGAAGAUUCGUGCUGAAUUAUAUCAGGGAAUUGUUGAUAGUGUAAAUGCCGGUGAAACUAGAGGUGACAAAAUUGGGAAGAGGAUUAUAUUACCUGCUUCUUUCAUCGGCGGUCCUCGAGACAUGCGGCAACGUUACCUAAACGCUAUGGCAUUGGUUCAUCGUUUUGGAAAGCCAGAUAUAUUUUUUACGAUAACAUGCAAUCCUGAAUGGCUAGAGAUUAAAACACUCCUAAAACCAUGGGAGAUGGCAUUCAAUAGACCAGAUAUAACAGCACGAGUUUUUCGUGCUAAAAUUGAGGAUCUUGAGAAGCAACUGUUUAAAGAGCAAAUAUUUGGUCGAGUUGCUGCACAUGUGCAUGUAAUUGAAUUUCAAAAAAGGGGCCUUCCUCAUGAACAUUUUCUUAUUAUUUUGCAACAAGAAAAUAAAAUUACUAAUUCAAUAAUGUAUGAUGACAUAGUAAGUGUAGAAAUUCCAGAUCCAGAUGAAGAUCCUAUACUUCAUAAGCUUGUAGUAAAACAGAUGAUGCAUGGACCUUGUGGAAAUUUGCGUACAGCAUCCCCUUGUAUGGUUGACAACAAAUGCAAGUUCCAUUAUCCAAAACAUUUUUCUGAAGAAUCUAGGCAGGGCAAUAACGCAUAUCCAAUAUAUCGAAGAACGAAUAAUAGAAGGCAAGUCAUGGUUCGAAAAAAUUUAUUAGACAAUAAAUGGGUUGUACCUUACAAUGCAUACUUGCUUAAGAGAUAUAAUUGCCAUAUUAAUGUCGAGAUUUGUUCUUGCAUUGCAGCUGUUAAAUACUUAUACAAAUAUAUAUACAAAGGUCAUGAUCGAGUUGCUCUUUACAUACACCCAGAUGAUCAGAAGCAAAAGGUUAAUGAGAUAAAAUAUUUUCAAUAUGCAAGAUGGAUCUCACCACCAGAAGCAAUGUGGAGAAUAUACGAGUUCAACUUAAAUGAAAUAUAUCCAUCUGUUGUCUCUCUACAACUCCAUCUUCCAAAUAAGCAACUGGUGACCUACUGGAAGAAUAGAAAUCUUGAACAUCUUCUUCACGAGGAACAUUCAACAAAAACUAUGUUGACUGAAUUCUUCAAAAUGAAUUCAACCAAUGCUAAAGCAACGAAGUAUCUUUAUAGAGAAUUUCCAGAACAUUUUGUUUGGAAUAAGGAUACACUAUCAUGGAGUUUAAGAAAAAAGAAACGCGCAAUAGGUAGAGUAAAUGCAGCAAAUCCAUUAGAAGGUGAAAGAUAUUAUCUGCGAAUGCUUUUAAAUCAUAUACGUGGCCCAACAUCAUUUGAUGAUCUUCUAACUAUUAAACAAGUUUAUUGUUCCACUUUUCGGGAAGCUGCUGAAAUGCAUGGCUUGUUGGAAGGCGAUAAUGCGAUUCUUUUUUGUCUAGAGGAAGCAAUAUUAUACCAGAUGCCACUUGCUUUGCGAAGAUUGUUUGCUACCAUUUUAGUUUAUUGUGAGCCCAAUAAUGUAAAAUCAUUAUGGCAGAAGUUUCUACAACCAAUGUCAGAAGAUUAUAUAACAUUUGGUAGACAUACUUCGGCAGAGACUGAAAUUCAAACCUUGAAAGAAAUUACUAAUUUUGUUCAAAGCAUGGGAAGAAAUAUAGCGGAGUUCGACUUACCAAAAUUAUCUAUGGAAAGUAGUAUUGGCAAUCUAAAUUCAAAGGAAAUGUUGGAUGAAUUGUCGAUCAUAACUCCAAUUAUAGAUUAUCAAGCUUGUGAAAUGUUGAAUUCUUGUCAAAAAUAUGCUUUUGAUACUAUAAUCGAAAGAAUCAAUACCCAGAAAAGUGGCAUCUUUUUUAUAGAUGGCCCAGGAGGAACUGGCAAAAUAUUUUUGUAUCGUGCGUUACUUGCAAAUGUUAGAAGAAAUGGCUCAAUUGCUCUUGCAACAGCUACAUGUGGUGUUGCGGCAGCUAUCCUUUCUGGUGGUCGGACAGUACAUUCAAGAUUCAAAAUACCACUUGAUAUCAACCAAUCAAGUAUGUGCAAUAUAAAAAAACAAAGUGGAUUGGCUCAAUUAAUACGUGCAGCAAAAUUAAUUAUAUGGGAUGAAGCACCAAUGUCAAAAAAAAUGACAGUCGAAGCAUUAGAUAGAACAUUGCAAGAUAUAUUGGAUUGCAAUUUACCAUUUGGAGGUAAAGUGAUGGUUUUUGGAGGAGAUUUUAGACAAGUACUUCCUGUUGUUCGAAAAGCUUCACGUACAAAAGUUAUUGACGCAUGCUUAGUGUGUCACAGCCCGCGACCACCCGCUUAUUUGGCCGAGGUCGCGGCGCCGACCGCGCCGAACAGACAGGGUUUCCCCUGUACUGCGGACAGAGUCUCCCCUGUACGUUCAAGGCAUCGCAAUCAAUACAAUAUACGAAGUUCCAAACAGGAACACAUUUCAAUCAAGAUUGCAUAAGGAAGGUAUCAAACAACAUAAACACAUCCUAUGUUAUUACAUUCAUUCACAUUCAUGCAUUUUACAUCUCAACCACCAUUCAUUUCAUCCAAAUGCAAUCUAAGUUAUUACAACAUUUACUUAUUACAAAUUUGAUACAUUAUGUUCUUUUCAUUUUCUUAACCCCUAAGCGACGUCGACGGGGUACUUCUAGCUCUGGUCUCCGGGGUAGGGCGCUAUCUACGGAGCUACGCCCUUUCCUCGCGCCGCCGCGCCGCUCACGUACGAACCUGUAACACCCCAAAACAACGUGGGGUGAGAACCAACUCCAUGGUUCCCAGUGAGUACGGCCACCCAAGGGAAAUGCUCGACCGACAGGUUCAAAGAAGGCAACUGCAUGUUAGUUUAAUAAACAGAUAGAUAGAUAUUUUGACUAUGCAAUUAAUAAAACCAUACCUUGCCUCGCAACUAUAACAAUGCUAUGCAAUAUGCAAUACCUGUAAAUCAUGCAAGUAGAUUACUUGAUUCUACUUUAUAUCAUUAACCAUUCUUUACUUGUAGCCGUUCUUUUCUUUAUUAGCUAUUCACGUUCAUUAGCUAUUCUUUAUUCUUUACUCUUUGUCUUAUUGUGCUCACUGGCGAUUCUUUCCUAAGGUUAUUUUACCUUAGCCAUCUAUGCCACUCGACUCGGUCUCGAGUCAAUCAACUGCGGAUAGUCCGCGCUCUGUCCGGCUCAAGGUGAAGGAUCUCUCACUUACACUCCAGCCUUCAGUCCACAAACAUCUCGCCAACUGGUCGCCCAGAGCUGCGUACACCCGUAGUCAGGGAUCUUUCCGAUGGGAAGGGGAUUAUGCCACAAACUCAACCCGCGGCCCAAGACCCCCGAUAAGGAAGGGGACAUGCCACACUCAACCCUAGCGAAGCACGAUUCUGCCGACGGGAGGGGGAACCUGCCACACUCGACCCGCGGCCUCGAAUCAGUCAACAGCUCAUCCUCGAAGUUCGUCCAGUGGGAGAGGAACCUGUCACACUCAACCCACUGCUCUAGAACUGUCGAGUUCACAAUCCUAAGAUUCCGGAAUCUAUUUUCCAAGCCUCUAGGGUAAUCUCAAACCCUAUGAUAUCGACCUAUCCAGGUCCAAUGCACUUUCUGUUCUAGGUCUAGCUGACUCUAGGUUUAAUGCCCCUAUCACAUAACCUAUGUUCUUUAAACGAGGUUAAUGUCUCUCUCUACCUAGAUUUUAUUAACUCUAGGUUCAACAACAUUAGCAUCAUUGUCAACCUAUGUUUACCAACACUAGGUUCGAUAUCAAUCUACCUAGAUCUUGAUUCUAGGUUCAUUCUGUUUAACCUAUGUUCACGACGCUAGGUUAAUGCCACUCGAUCUAGCCUAGGUUCACGACACUAGGUUUAACAUCAUUUUUAUUCAUCCUAGGUUCUUGACACUAGGUUCAUAUUUGACCUAUGUUAAUUACACUAGGUUAAUGCCACUCGAUCUAGUCGAUACCUAGAUUGUCCACAUUGAGUUUCCAUGACCAUCCACAUUUUCAAUAUGCAUAUUACACUUAGCCCUUUCUCUAGCACAUAUUUAGAAUGCCAAUAUGCAUCUUAACUAACAUGAUCUCAUAAUGAUAAAUGCACCUAGCAUAUCUUUCACUAUGCAUUAAUAUCAACGUGCAAUCAAGUAUCUCACUUAGCAUCUCUUUAUUAUGUCAUCAUCUAGCAUAUCGUUCCGAUGCAUUAAUAUACAAUUACCAACUAGCAUGCAUGUACAUAAUGCUAACAUGUAUAUGCAUUUAACAAUUUCUCAUAACUCAUAUGCUUAACAUUCAUUUAUAUACUCAUGUUCUCUAGCAUGCUCUUCUACAUGUCAACAUGAAUCAAUAAUGCUAACAUGUUCAUAUGUACAUAUAUUUAUGCAUUAAUAAGGAUCUAUAUUCCGCUUUGACAUGCGGGGCGACCAAGUCGUUUCGGUAAGCACAACCCACCUUAGCUAGCUUUCCGAUUGCUCGUAGUCACUUGCAAUCGGCCGCCCGCGGCACCCGGCACCCGGUUUGGCCCGAUCCCUCGCGCGACCACCCGAACGGCCUCCAAUCCACGAUCCGGAAAUUAAAGGUCUUCGGUGAUGUGCCACGGUGAUUCAAAUCUGUUUUCACGAUUUUACGACGUCGCCUCGGCCCUCCAGGCGGAAACGAAGCCUAAACAUCCGUUUCUUUAAUAACUUUGUAACGGCUCGUCGGAUUGCCGAACCGUCUUUGCCAACGCGUUCGUUUACCUAGCAAUUAGGUUUACAGAGGUUCAAUUGAGAUCAAACCCUCAUAUUUCCAAAAUUUGCAUUUUGGAGCCCUAGGUUGCAACUAGAUAAAAAUCCACCAAAUUCCUUCAUGAAUCAAGCAUCAUUCAUCUAGAUAGCAUGCUAGGAUUCCUCUAAAUUCAUUUAUAAGCUAUUUAAACCAACCAUUAAGGAUCUACCAUGAGAGGGCUCAAGAAGCUCACCUCAAAAUUAGCUCCAAAUCAUGGAGAAGAUGAAGAAGACAAUGGUGAUCCACUCCCAAGCUUCAACCUCCGCCAAUUCCUUUAAUUUUUGGAGAGAUUUAGAGAGAGAAAGAGAGGGUUUUCUCUUCUCCUUCCAUGCGUGUGUGGGUGUGUGUCGUGGGUGUGCACGGGUUGGGGCUGCACGGUUGAGGGAGAAGAAGCAUUUGCUUCUUUUACAACUUAACCCCUCAACUAUACACUAUUCACAUCCAGGGCAGUUUAGCAGUUCAGAACAGUUGGAGCUUUUCUGAAUGUCCGUUUGAGCUCAAAUUUGACAGGCAUACUUAGUUUAACGUACUGAGUAAGAAUAUAUCUUAAGUUUUCAGUUUCGACCUCAUUUGGUCACUGAAAACUGCACCGAACUGUAAUCUUUAUCAAAUAGCUGUCGGAUUUUAUUUCUCACUUUACCGGUGUCAGAAAAAUAUGAAACUUUAAAUCUAGCCUCAUAAAAAUAUUUCUGAAUUAUCCUCCAAUUUUCAUAAUUUUCUGAGACUGUGCAUUUUCUGCUAAUUUAUCUGUCCCAUUUCCAACAGAAAAUUCUAAAUCUCCUGUUUUUGCUCCAAUUUCAGCACAGGUCAUUCCUAACCUAUAUUUCACUUCUCUAAAUCCAAUAAAAACAGUAUCUCAUACUAUUUUUAUUUAUUUUUAUUUUUAUAUUUAAAAUCCGGUAUGUUACAUUCCACCGCAACCUCAACGGAACCAUUUAAAUGCUUUCUACCCACAUGUAAACCGUAACUUCAUAGUUUUAGAAGUUUGGUACCUUACAUAGUGAGAUCAUACUUAUGGUCUAUCAUGGAAAAAUUAUAUUUGCAAGAGAAUAUGCGAGCAAAAAAUUAUUUUGAUUAUUCCAACUUUUUAUUGCGUGUCAGCGACGGGACAGAACCUUAUAUAUUUGAUAAUGUCAUACAAAUUCCAAAUGAUAUGGUGAUUCCAUUCAGCAAUGUUGAAUGCUCAAAGCAAGAAUUAAUUGAAGCUAUAUUUUCACUACUUAUGGAAAAGAGCAAUUGUAUAAAUUAUAUAUAUGAUAGAGCAAUAUUGGCAACCAAAAAUGAAUAUGUCGAUGAUUUAAAUGAAAUAAUCAUCAAGAAAUUUUCAGGAGAAGAGUAUGUUUUCUAUAGCUUUGAUAUUGCCAUCGAUAAAAGUAAUUCAAUAUACCAAUCAGAAUUUUUGAAUGAUCUAACUCCAAAUGGUUUACUGCCUCACAAAUUGACUUUGAAAGAAAAUUGUCCAGUUAUGCUAUUGAGAAAUUUGGAUUCUUCAAAUGUAUUAUGUAAUGGGACAAGAUUGAUAUGCAAACACUUUAGUAAGAAUGUGAUACAUGCAAAGAUAGCAGUUGGACAACACACUGGUAAAGAUGUUCUACUUCCAAGAAUUCCUCUAUGUACGGCUGAAAAUGAAGGUUAUCCUUUUGCAUUUAAAAGGAAGCAAUUCCCCAUUAGAUUAGCUUUUGCUAUGACAAUCAAUAAGGCACAAGGACAAACAAUACCACAUGUAGGGAUAUUUCUUCCAGAGCCUAUUUUUUCACAUGGGCAGCUCUAUGUAGCUUUGUCUAGAGGAGUUUCUAGAUCAACAACUAAGUUAUUAAUCUAUCCGAUUGACGAUAACAUCCAGAAAUGUACAAAGAAUGUAGUAUAUACAGAGAUUUUUGAGGAAAUAUCUACUUAAAUAGCACAAAUAUAUGAGUUACAAGGUAUUAUUGUAUUAUCUACAUUUAUUGUUUUUAUAUGCGAUAUUUUUUUAAUAGCACUUUUCAUUGCUAAUCUUUUUCUUCUUUUUUUUUUGAUUAGGAGAAAAGAUCGAUCAAAUUCAGAAUUCAAGGUUUUACACAAUAAGCACAUUAAAUCAUAUAUCGAAAGAUUGGGUGCUGAAGUGUCAAGUGUUACAAAUUGGAAAUACUCAUUUCUACAAUAAUAAGAAUGGUUUCGGAUCAGUUAAAAAGAUUAUAUUAGUUGACGAAGAGGUUAGUUUGUAAUAUAUCAUUAUGUAGUUACUUGUUGCUUGCUAUUUUUAUAAUGUGAUAAUUAUUUUCCUAUAUGGUUAAUGAAAUAAUAUUGUAUUUUUCUAUAGGGUGCACGCAUACAAGCAAUCAUGUUCAAUGAGACGAUCAAAUUCUUUGAAGAAAUAUUAAAGAAAGAUCACAGUUACUUUCUUUCUAAUGCAAGUGUGAGAGAAGCAAUUGCAAAAUAUAAUAGUGGAAGUACAAGGAAUGAAAUUAUUUUGGACAAAACCAGUACAUUUGCUAUAAUAAAUUAUUUCAAGUUCAAGCAACCAAUCAAGUUCAACUAUGUGCUAUUGAAAUCCUUGGGCGAUUAUGUUGAUACUGAUAAUCUAAUAGGUAAAGAGUGAAAUUAUUUUUUAAUUUUCAUAAAUAUUUAUUUCUAACAUUAUCUUUAUUUUCAGAUAUUAUUGCCAUAGUAAUUACUAUCGGGGAACCAGUUGCUGUCACAAGAAAAUCAGAUGGAGAAGAAGUUGUGCGCCGUGAUGUGACAAUUAUUGAUCAUUCGUAUGUGAAAAAAAAAAAUCUUAAUAAAAGAUUUUACAUGAGAUUUUACAUAUUAUAUAUAAUUUUAUUUGUAUAUCUUAUACUUCUAUAUAAAUUUAUUAAUUGUAUCAUAAUUUUAAAUUUAGAUAGUCUUCCACUGUACAACUAACUCUUUGGGCAAAUUUGGCGACAAAUGAAGGAGAUAUUAUAAAGAAUGCACUCAGCGAGAGACCAAUCUUAAUUGCAACUUCUUUAAGAGCUCAAAAUUUCAAAGGUAUCGAAAUAUUUUCAUUUAUAGUUGUAACUAUAUAUAAACAAAGACUCUUGUCCGCAAAAAUUUAUAAAAAGUUAUAUUUCGCAGUAACUGACAUAUAAAAUAUUUAUGAAAUAUUCUAAAAUUAACUUUUCUUCGAUUUACAAUUGCAGAAAUUUUCUUAUCAACAACAACAAGCACAAUACUAGAAGUCAGCCCAACAACAAAAGAAGCUAUUGAUUUAAGAAAUUAGUAAGUGAUUGGUAAAACAGUUUAAUUUGCAAACUUACUCUAUACAUUUUUGAAACAUGUGAUGCAGGCUAAAAACCAGCAAUAAUGAAGUGGAUACAUUGACGAGUAAAUCAAGAGAAAUUAAUUUCUUGAGAUUCAAAUAUGAAAAAACAAGUAUUCAAGAAUUACUUGCAAAUCUCACUAUUGCAACAAAACAGGUAAAAAUUUUAAGAAUAUGUUCAUUAUUAUUUGCUAAAAUAUAUAUUAAGUAUGUAAAUAUGUACUAUAUAGGUAUGGCAAAUCGACAUAAAAAUAGUGGAGUUGAACAAGAAGCAAGAUCCGUGGUAUAUUGCUUGCAAAACUUGUGGAAGAAAAACUGUGGAUCUUGAUUGUAAAAUAAAAUGCGAGAUAUGUGUCAGCUCAGAAAUCUUCAUUGAUUAUAGAUAUUUUUUAAUAAUAUAUAUUUUUCAUAUUACAAUAUUAAUGCACUAUUUUAGAUAUUUUAAUAAUUUAAAUUCAAAGUUCUUAUAGGUUUAUGUUGCGAGUGAAAGUUGUCAAUUAUACGGGUUCAAUAUGGGUGUCACUUUUUAACAAGGAAGUUGAAAACUUAUUAAACUGUAAAGUUGAGGAACUUCGAGAAAUGAAGGUAAAAUACAUUUUCUAAGGUUAUCAAUUCACAUACUUAUUGCUAUAAGUAUGUUUACAUCUCUUUUUAUAAUUAUAUGUUGACAGGAUCACAACAUUCAUCAAUUUCUUCAAAAGUUAGAGGAUUGUUUGGGAAGACGAUACUUAUUAACUUUGAAAGUAGCAGAGAUCAAGAAAGUUGAUCUUGUGAACUAUAACUAUACAGGAAUUUCAAUUGAGAGUAUUGACAAUAUUGAGCAAAACAAAAAGAAUCAAUCUAUUCAAGAAAUUCCUCAAAACUUGGAAGACUCGCUUGAAGAAGAUAAAUAUGUUUCUGAUGUGGAUCUUAGCAAGUCGACGAAUUCUCUUCUUCGCAAACGAAAAGUGUUCAUUGAUAACGAAGAUGAAUAAUAUUUUAUAUGCUUAUUUUCAUAAUAGAAAAUUCUAUAAUUUGGUUAAACUCUUAUGCAUUUAAUUAUUAUAAAGUCACUUUAGUAUGCGAUGUUCAAUCCUUUUAGUUUAAUUUGGUAAUUAAAUUUACUUUAUUUAUGUAAAGUUUUGUGAUGAGCUUUUCGAUAUAUAUUUCUACAUUCCUAUCAAAUAGGAUUGAAUUUAUUUAGUCCUACUUCCCUUAUCUUUUUCAGGAUUCAAAUUUUGGAUUCCCGUUUCCAUCUUUAACUUUGGGUAAAGUGAAUUAGACCUUUUUUCUUACUUAUUGAUAUAGUUCUUUGGCACAGAAAAUAAACAAUGAGAUCGAUCUAUGUGCUGUUGGUAUUUUUAAUGUAAAUUUUAUAACUUAUAAAGUUAUAAUUCUUAUCAAGUUUCUUAACACGUGCAACGCAUGUUCUUAAACUAGUUAUGUUUCAAAAGAAGUGGGUUUCAUCCCUUUGUUGAAAUUAUGUUUCAAACAAAAGAAAUGAGCUCCAUCACCCCUGUUUUUACCUAUAUACUUAAGCAUUUCCGACAUCUUUCCAUCGUAUACGAAUAAAAAAAAUUUAAAAAUUUAGAAAAUAGGACGGAAAGCCGAGAUGCUAAGAUGCAAUAUGAUGAUAUAAACUUAUGCUCCUACUACUUCAAACCUGUAAAAAUACAGUAUUUUAUCUAAACAGUCAAAUAUAGAGUAAAAUAUUUCAGAGUAUUUAGAAUUUUAUACCAGCCUAAUACAACAUAAUAUAAAACUCUGUUUUUAAUUCCGGUAGUUGCCAAACAGGCCCUAAGCUGUAAAAAGUAAUAAAAACAGCAAAAGGCCGAUUUCAAUGGGAAUGUGGGCCGUGAGUGGGCUUGUCCAGUGCAAGAAUGCCUGGUAGUCAGGUAAGCGGGCGUCGGUUCGCCCUUCUUCGCACCCCGGCGGUUCUUGGGUCCGCCUUUUUCCCCCGAUCCGAGAUUCGGGCCGGCCGAUCCACUUGUAAACGGGCAAGAGGGCGUCGGUUCGCCCUUCUCCGCACUAUCCACCGCCCGGCGGGUCUUGAGUCCGCCUUUUCCCCCCGUUCCGAGGUUCGCAGCUUCGACCCGCCGGUUCUCUUCUUCGCCCCAAAUACCAAGGUUCUGUCGAUCCUCCCAUCGCCCUCUCCGAGCUCUGAGGAUGCCCUAGCACCGUCGCGCCGCCAGUGCUCCGCCCGGAUCUCCUCUCGCCAGGCUUCUCCGUCAAGCUCCCCCUUCCUCAACUUGCUGCCGCCGCCUAUCUCUCCUUUAUUUUUGUAAAGUUGCCAUUUUACUGCCUGCCCUGUUAAUUACUACUACUUAUUCCCCCCAGGUUGUUACAUCUCAUACUGGAAAUUUGAGAAAAAAAAAGGGUUAAAUUGCGGGGUUUUGUGGGGUGGAUUUGGUGAGGGAGCUCUACGAACAAAAACCCUAAAAAUCCCCGUUUCCUGGAUUUGAACGCUCGCAUAUAGCUUCUUCUUAGAUUUUUGUUCUUUUUUUUUCCCCCUCAAUUUGUAGCGGAGUAUAACGUUGAUGGCGGAAUCGUUGGUUGCGGCGGAGGACGAAGCCACAGCACCACUUCCGCCUCCUCCGCCCACGGCGGCGGUGGCGGCGGAAUCCGGGAAUCCGGAGACGGAGGUCGACGGUUUCCGGCGCCGCAUCGAUGACCUCAUCUCCCAGGCCGAUGAGGUUCUGUGAUUUCUCCUUGCUCCGCUCUUAUGUUACUUCUUUACGUUGCGAUCUACAAUUUUAACCUAAACUUGCAAUGUUUUAUAUGUACCAUAACUCUAGCUAGGGUUUUAAUCAAGAAACGAGCAAAAAGAUUUUUUUUUUUUUGCUGUAUUUAUGGAUUCAAGUGGUUGUGCAGCUGGAGAAAAAGGUGAGUGAGGUUGUGGAGUUCCACGCAAACAAGAAACAAACGAAUAAUUUAAAGGGUAACUCCGUAGUUAGGGAUAAGGAGAAGGAGAGGCCGAUCGGGAAUGGGAGUAGCAAUAAUUGUGUUAAUAAUAGUGGAAGCAACAGUAAUAGUAAAACCCAGGGGGAUGCGGGUCGAAAGGAAGCUGUUUGCUCGAAGAGAAUGCAGGAGCUCAUGCGGCAAUUCGGCACGAUUUUACGCCAGGUGAGUCGGGAAUUUCCUCCUCUCUUAAGUGUUUUCUUCGGUGUAGAUGUUCUUAUGCUUUCUGAUUAUAAUGUAUUAGAAUUUUGGUUGGUGCUAGUGUAAGGCACUAAAUUUUAUGUAAGUUACUUCUAUAAAUUGCAAAUUAUGGUCAGAUGUUUUAUUUUCGUUUGAUAUUUUCUAUAGUUGAUUUCAACUGUAUUGACAGUUUUACCCGCAUAUUGUUUCUCUUCACGUCUAGCAGUAUUGUUGCACUAUAAAAUAUGAGGAAAGGCUAACUACUUUCAUUAUUAAGAAAUUUUUCUUAUUUUAGAUUUUUAAUGUCUAUAGUGUAGUCAACGAUUUGGCAUUUUCACUGUAUGAAAUGUAUGUUGGAUUAUUGAUGACAUGGCUUAUUAUGUUGUAUCUGAACAUUUUGUAACUUUGGUGAAUGUGAAUUCAUUGGAGGCAAAAUGAUACAGAAUAUGACUUUGUGUUUCAUGCUGUACUUUUGUAAUGACACUAGAAUAAGUAUCGUAGUAGUCCACUGAGUUCUAGAAUUCAGGGAAGAACUUCAACCAGGAAAGUUAUGGAUGUUAAGAAUACUUAAUGAAAUAUUUGAUAAUAUUGAACUGACAACAGGAGGUAAACAAAUUCUGGAUAUAGACGAAGGAGUUAAGUUCAUUAAAAAAGAGACAGCCUCCAUACCUACAAAAAGAGAAAGGCCUUAGAGAACCAAGGGCCCAUAAAAUCAUCUGAGUAUUAUAAUGCUAUCUGAACAAGAUAUUUUGAGGCAUAGAGAAUGGCUAUUGUUGUGUAAAAUGGUUAAUAUGACACCUCUUGUAGCAAUUUCUUUUUUUCUUUUUGCAUUUACUUUUGAUUUAAUUAUCAUUUGGAAAUAUCCAUCUUUCCAGAUCACUAAUCACAAGUGGGCUUGGCCAUUCAUGGACCCUGUAGAUGUUAAAGGCCUUAAACUUCAUGAUUAUUAUGAGGUAAUGUUUUAAUUCUUGUUAAUAUCCAUUUCUCGCUUCAACUAUAAAAUAAUCUCUCUUUGGGAAUUAUCUCUGAGAACUAUAAAACUACAGAAUUUUGUAUACAUAUGAUUACUAUUAUCCCAUAAGUGUAAUUUGCAAUUUAAUGUGCAUCUCUGUUGUUUGACUUAUAUUUAAUCCGCUAUAUCUUAUUUGGAGUUUGGUUGCCUGUCUUUGCUGAACUGCUAUGAUAUCAGCAUAUAAUUCUAGCAUGUUUCUUGAUUUGAUUUAUUUAGUUUUGGUGUAUCUCAGAUUAUUAAGAAGCCCAUGGACUUCCAUACUAUUCAAAAUCGGAUGGAAACAAAGGAUGACUAUAGAUAUAAGAAUGUCCGAGAAAUAUGUGCAGAUGUCAGACUAAUUUUCACAAAUGCAAUGACGUACAAUGAUGAGAAAAAUGAUAUUCACCAAAUGGCAAAAACAUUGCUGGAGAAAUUUGAAGAGAAGUGGUUGCAAUUGCUGCCUAAAGUUGUUGAGGAGGUAAAAGGUUUCUAAAUUGUUGUUUUGUUUAAUUUUCUUCUAGAAAUUUGAGUUAUAUAGGUUUUUUCUGAUCUUCUUAUAGAGGAGCCUGCUUGUCACUGCAAGUUUAAAUUUUCUCGAGGACUUAGGUUACCUGCUGGUCUACUUGCUUCACAAUCGGUGCUCUAUGUGGUCAGGAAACAAGACAAAAGGAGGAGGAAGCACAAGUAAUUGUUAAUAUGCAGAGCGUUCAAGAGGCUAAUAUUGCGAGAUUAGCAAGAGAUACACAUACUGAGGUAGACAUUUUUGGAAGUGGGUUUAAGAGGUUGCAUCAUUAAAAGAGUUAUCUUUUACUUCUAAUACAAGGAUAGAUGAAUAUAUGAUCCAAAAUAAUCGAUAGGUCACAUCAUCAAUAAAUGUAAAGCAUCGGAUUAGUAAGUUAUGUAAAAUUAGUUGUGAAUUCUUUUAUCUGUACAUCUAUCAAUUUACCAACUUGAGAAUCUCCAAAUUAUCCUUUUCAAACAAACAAUCACUGAUAAAAAAUAAAGCUGAAGCAGUUACAAUUUUUGUAUUACUUAAGGGUCAAAAAGACCAUAGCUAUGAGAGGCCCAAUCACUUAAGCAGGUGUCCGAUGGUCUGACAGUUAGCUAGUCACCUAGACACGCAUUUUGGGAUCGUGGAAUUAUUGAGAAGGUACCCAAUAAUAUAGGCCUGGUAGGUCAGUUUUUUUUUCUAGGCAUAGGUGGCUACCAAUAACAGUCGAUGGUGCUUUAAACCUUUGCAUCAGACAAAAACCAUGUAUAUGUAGUGGCUUCAACCUCUUGCUUUCUUCUUAGAGUGUCCAAAUAAUAUCUCAGCAGUUUCCAUUUAUUUCUUUAUUAUUUCUCUUUUUCUAAUUUGCUGUGUUUCAGCUCAAUGAACUAAAUUCGCUUUUGGAGGAUCUUCGAAAAUCAGUAGUCCAGAAAUGCAGGUAUUUUCCAUAUCUUGGCUCUUCACAUAUGUGCCGAGUUUUAUGAAAUAGCGUUUAUAUGGAUUCUAGGAGCAUUGUUUAGUUGAUUUGGACUGGACUAGUAUCAGUGAUUAAGAAUAAUAUUACAUGUUGAGAAGCUAGUGUCACAUUUGGUACUUUUUUGCUGCUACGCAAUAGCAGAUGCCAUUACUAAAUUAAAUUUGUGCUGGGCUUUUUGUUUUGGCUUUAUUUAAAUGCACCUGUUCUCAUAAUAUUUCAUCCAUGCAAAUUUCUUUGUUACGGGUGUUCGAAUUUAGAGGGCAUUUGAUUUUCCUUCUACCUGCCCCUUUUUUUCAUUAAAUUGAACUGUUGAAACUCUAGAUGGACAUCUAAUGUGCCAAAUAAUGACUAGUUGCCUUGUCAUAUUUUCUUUCUUGUUCUUAAUGAUCUUGCCUUAUUGCAUCUCUUUUUAACAUCAGAAUGACGUACAAUAUGGACACACUAACUUUUGGAGAACAUUGCAAGGAAAAUGUCCACAGAGGAGAAAAGAAAACUGGGUGUGGGUUUAAGCAAUUUAUCUCCUGAAGAUCUUAACAAGGCACUAGAGAUUAUUGCUCAAGACAAUCCAAACUUCCAAUCUACGGCAGAAGAGGUGGACCUUGAUAUGGAUGCUCAGGUCAUUUCUCUACAUAUUACAAUUAUGACUUUUAGCACAUAAGCAUACAUAUUUGUGUGUAUUUUAAACAGAUAAAAUGAUGGGCUUAUGAUAUUACUCGGUAUAUAUAUUUUUUGGUUAACAAAACGGAGCUUCUUUUCACAUUCUUGUCGUAUACUUUUUAGCAUUUUGGUGCAUUUCUGAACUUAUCAUAAUGUGGAAUAAAUUUUUUGUGAAUAAUUAAAUUCUUUUCGAUAUUUCGUCUCAUUUUCAUAUGCACAGUGUAAUUGCUGAUUGAUCGCUUUUAUUCUGUGUUGUUGUUCUAGAGCGAGAGCACAUUGUGGAGACUCAAAUUCUUUGUGAAAGAAGCAUUGGAACAGCAAGCAAAAAAUAGUGCAACCAAGGCUGACGAGAACUCAAAGCGCAAGAAAGAGAUAUGUGAUGCUCUCGCCAAGACGGCCAAAAAACGGAACAAAAAGCUCUCUUCUUGAUGUACCUUUCUUGCUCAUCAAUCCAUACUCCUUUUCUUGUUAUCGUCUUUGUUUAAAUUAUGUGUAAAGCCCUCCCUGAAGGACCGCCGUGCCAGAGUUGUAGAAAGCAUGUGAUUUUGAGCUCAAUAAAUCAUAAUUAGAAGGAAAAAAUAACUCCACAUCAACGAUUUAAGUGCCGUGGCACGGGGUCGUGCCGGAAACUUGCCGGUACGGUACGGCACGGUGCGUGCCGAGCCGUGUCGAUGCGUGCCGGUAAAAAAAAUUCUUAUGUGCCGACACAUAAUAGCAUGAAGUAUUUAUUUUCUUUAGCAACAACAUAUUCUAACUGUUUAUUAUGUCUUUUUAUCACAUCUUUUGAACUUUAUUGAGAAAAUUACGUACUAAUUUAAAGAAUAGAGGGUUUUGAGCUGUGCCAUCGGUACGGUGUCUGUAUCGUGCUAGUAUCUUGUUGGCACGGUACGACACGGUUGAUACGGCCCGUGCCGACGGGCACUUAAAACCUUGCUCCACAUUGUUGGUUUGGGACUUGCUUUUUUGAAAUGGUUAUGAGAGACAUGUUUGCCAUGUUUGGUCUAUGUAGAACCAUAGUUAGUUAAUUCGGAUUCGGCAAAAAUUCGGUACGGGUAUAAUUCGGAUAAAAUUCGUUUUUUAAUUUUUAAAUUCGUUGAAAAAUACGGCUAUAAAACGGAUUCGUCAAUUAUUCGGAUACGUGAUUUAUACGGAUAUUAUACGUUCACCAAUUAAAAAUUCGGAAUCAAAAAUUCGGCUAUUAAAUUAAAUUUUUUUUCUCUCAAAAUUUAUGUUAUUUGUAUAAAUACUCAUACUUCUUAAGAUUAUAAGAAUAAAGUGCUACAAAAUUAAGUUAAUUAAGUACAAAAAAUAGCAAACUAUAUUAUGCCUUAAAAUUAAUAAAUAAGCAAGCAAAUAAGAGAUUAAGAUAGUCCAUACAGAUUAAAUUUUUUUGAUCGACUAAUAUUUUUUUUUAGAGAAGAGCGCGAACGUAUUGGAAAAGAUUUUUUUUUUAUUUUUGGGCGAGGUUGGGGUUUGGGAAAGGAUUUUUUUUUUUUUUUUUUUUGGGCGAG